Molecule: ribosomal RNA, 301 nt
Filed under: uncultured bacterium
Lineage: Bacteria
Description: partial 16S ribosomal RNA
Rfam family: Bacterial small subunit ribosomal RNA
Source: RNAcentral
CAGCAGCCACGGUAAUACGAAGGGGGCUAGCGUUGCUCGGAAUGACUGGGCGUAAAGGGCGCGUAGGCGGCUUGCACAGUCAGAUGUGAAAUUCCUGGGCUUAACCUGGGGGCUGCAUUUGAUACGUGUGGGCUAGAGUGUGAAAGAGGGUCGUGGAAUUCCCAGUGUAGAGGUGAAAUUCGUAGAUAUUGGGAAGAACACCGGUGGCGAAGGCGGCGACCUGGUUCAUGACUGACGCUGAGGCACGAAAGCGUGGGGAGCAAACAGGAUUAGAUACCCCUGUAGUCCCUGUCUCUUAUAC